RNAcentral lists this ribosomal RNA (226 nucleotides) under uncultured bacterium. RNAcentral describes it as "partial 16S ribosomal RNA". It matches the Rfam family "Bacterial small subunit ribosomal RNA", at positions 538 to 763 of the family's 1533-position model. The record is from RNAcentral.
GCGUUAUUCGGAAUUACUGGGCGUAAAGCGUACGUAGGCGGUGGUUCAAGUCAGAGGUGAAAGCCCGGAGCUCAACUCCGGAACUGCCUUUGAAACUAGAUCGCUAGAACAUCGGAGAGGUAAGUGGAAUUCCGAGUGUAGAGGUGAAAUUCGUAGAUAUUCGGAAGAACACCAGUGGCGAAGGCGGCUUACUGGACGAUUGUUGACGCUGAGGUACGAAAGCGUG